AUUGAACGCUGGCGGCAGGCCUAACACAUGCAAGUCGAACGAGUGGCGGACGGGUGAGUAAUGUCUGGGAAACUGCCCGAUGGAGGGGGAUAACUACUGGAAACGGUAGCUAAUACCGCAUACCAUCGGAUGUGCCCAGAUGGGAUUAGCUUGUAGGUGAGGUAACGGCUCACCUAGGCGACUAUCCCUAGCUGGGCUGAGAGGAUGACCAGCCACACUGGAACGGAGGCACGGUCGAGACGCGUAGGUGAGGCAGGAGGGGGGAAUAUGGCACAAGGGGCGCAAGCGUAAUGCAGCCAUGGGGCGUGUAUGAAGAAGGCUUUCGGGGUGUAAAGUACUUGCAGCGGGGAGGCGUUACCCGCAGAAGAAGCACCGGCUAACUCCGGGCCAGCAGCAGCGGUAAUUC
This 406-nucleotide ribosomal RNA is filed under the name uncultured bacterium. RNAcentral describes it as "partial 16S ribosomal RNA". It matches the Rfam family "Bacterial small subunit ribosomal RNA", at positions 29 to 526 of the family's 1533-position model. The record is from RNAcentral.